AAACAAAUAGGCGUAUAAAUCAUGACCUAAUUUACAUCAUACAACAUUUGUACAAAACCAACUGCCUUACCUGGUGAAAACUGUGCAUUCAUAUACAUGCGAACAUAACCAAAUUUGAAAAUUCAUCUCCAGAAUUGCAUCACAUGGUCUGAAAUGCAGUCUGAAUACCAGUAAGGGUGAUAGUGUAUAAUGGUUAAUAAUUAAGAGCAGCUUGCUCUAACGGUCACCUAUACCUAUGCAGGAUAGGAAAACUCGAUUUUCUGAAACUUUGUUAGGAAGAAGGUUUUUACUAACUUAUUUCAAACCUCUACCUUUGAGGUUGUUUGGAUUUUUAUUUUCUAGUGGAGACGGCCUUACAUAUUUUGCCCUGAAAAGAGCAAAACUUGACCCGAAAAUUAUACUUUUUGUAAGCGCUAACAAGCCAAAAAAAUAAUCGUGACUGGAAGAGCUAAAAUCAGGGCUUGAAAUUGCGACUCACUGGUUGCCAAUGCAAUCAAAAAUUGAGCACUGGCGACUAAAUUUUCAGAACUGGUCACCAGCUGGCGAUUCGUGUUUUGUCUGAUAACUAAAGAAAACCAUGACACCACUUUUAUUUUUAAAUCUUUAUAUUAGGAAA
Molecule: long non-coding RNA, 616 nt
Organism: Orbicella faveolata
Lineage: Eukaryota; Metazoa; Cnidaria; Anthozoa; Scleractinia; Merulinidae
Source: RefSeq, a predicted model, not a curated record